This 66-nucleotide transfer RNA is filed under the name Pyrophorus divergens (Brazilian luminescent click beetle). RNAcentral's name for it is "tRNA-Ile". Lineage: Eukaryota; Metazoa; Arthropoda; Insecta; Coleoptera; Elateridae. The record is from RNAcentral.
AAUGAAGUGCCUGAAAAUAAAGGGUUAUUUUGAUAGAAUAAAUUAUGUAAAUGCUUACCUUCAUUA